Molecule: long non-coding RNA, 1626 nt
Organism: Piliocolobus tephrosceles (Ugandan red Colobus)
Lineage: Eukaryota; Metazoa; Chordata; Mammalia; Primates; Cercopithecidae
Source: Ensembl
AUGAGUCGCGACAUAAAAAAAAAAAAAAAAAGCGGUGAAUCAUUUAUGCGCAAAUAUGGUAACGAAUGUACAAAUAAUAGCGACAGUAAUAUAUAUAGUAGUAAUGGUACUAGUAAAUCGGAUAACACUAAUAAAUUCGUAAACACAAGUAAAUAUAGUGACACAAGCAAAUACAGUGACACAAGCAAAUACAAUAACAAUAACAGCAAUAUGAAUGUUAGGAAGAGUAAAUUACUUGAGAACGAAAAUGCAUAUAAAUUUAGUGCAAGUACAAAAAGUUUUAAAAGAUUAGGGAAUUCGUACAUGAGGAAAGAUAGUCACCACAUGUCGAUGAACAAGUACGAUCAUAAUACUGUUGAUGCGCGUUAUCAAAAAUUAAAAAAUGAAAAAUAUAAAAAUCAUACCAAUACUGACAUAAAUGGUGUCAAUACUAACAUAAAUGAUACCCAAAAUGAAAUCAGCGGUGUCAAUAGUAACACACAUGGUACCCAAAAUGACCUAAAAAGUGUCAAUAGUAACAUACAUGAUACCCAAAAUGACAUAAAAAAUGUAAAUAGUAACAUAAGUGAUACCAAUAGUAACAUAAAAAGUGUCAAUACUAACAUAAAUAACAUUAAGAGUAAUAGCUACAGUAAUAAUCAUAAUGAUGUACAUUCAAUGAGCCUACUUAAAGCAACAAGCGAUGAAAACGAGUUAUCGAAAAAUGAUAAAAUCGAAAAAAGGAAUAAAAAAAAAAAUAAUUAUUAUAAAAUAGAUUAUGAAAAUGCGUUGGAGAAAAAUAAUCACCUCGACAAUCAACUUGACAUUCACCUCAAUAGUCACUCCAAAAGUCAUCGCUAUAGUCAUCACAUUAGUCACCGCAUUAGUCACCGCAACAGUAGCCGCAACGUUCACUCCAUUAAUCACCUCAAUAAUUACCUGAAUAAUAAUUAUUCAUCAGGUUGUGAUAUGGGUAAUAUUACAACAAAAGAUAAUGGUAAUUUAGAAAUGGAUUUAAAAGAAAAAAAAAGGAAGAAAAGCAUGUAUGUGUCAGAAUACAAAAAAAAAAAAAAUACAUUACAAAACGUUCUAUUUAUGUUUAAAAGAGAUAAAAAACAUCAUUGGAAAAAAAAACUAAAAGAAUAUUUAAUUAAAUUUUAUUCUAUUAAAAAUGAAAUUCCUAAAAAAUCAACAGGCGUAUGUUUUGUAUCCUUUAUAGAUACAAAAUCUGUGCAUGAUUGUAUUCACAAUAUUCCAUAUACAGAAAGAAAUAACUGGUUAAUAUAUAAAGCACCACCAAACUAUGAUAUUAUCUGGAAGAAUUUAAAAAACCAUAGUUAUAAAGUUUGUGGUCGAUUUAUUAUACUUAAUGCUAUGUUAGUGUUAGCCAAUACAAUUAUUAUUUUAUCAGUUACUAAUAUUGAUAAUAUAAUAAAAAUAAAAGUCAAGCAAUAUCAAAGCGACAAUCCUGGUUCUGGAAGUCUCAGCUUACUUUUAACAAGUACGUGCAUACAAAAUUGUUUUCGUUUGACCAACCGUGACAAAAUACAUCCACAUAUAUAUAUAUAUAUAUAUAUAUAUAUUUACGCUCAUAUUUUAACACUUUGCAGCUUGGUUUUCACCAUUUAUUGUUAUCAUUAUCAAUAG